UACGUAGGGUGCGAGCGUUAAUCGGAAUUAUUGGGCGUAAAGCGUGCGCAGGCGGUUUUGUAAGCCAGAUGUGAAAUCCCCGGGCUUAACCUGGGAAUGGCAUUUGGGACUGCAAGGCUCGAGUGCGGCAGAGGAGACUGGAAUUCCUGGUGUAGCAGUGAAAUGCGUAGAUAUCAGGAGGAACACCGAUGGCGAAGGCAGGUCUCUGGGCUGACACUGACGCUCAUGCACGAAAGCGUGGGGAGCAAACAGG
RNAcentral lists this ribosomal RNA (253 nucleotides) under uncultured bacterium. Its description in RNAcentral is "partial 16S ribosomal RNA". It matches the Rfam family "Bacterial small subunit ribosomal RNA", at positions 524 to 776 of the family's 1533-position model. The record is from RNAcentral.